GUCCCCAGGUCAGCAGGUGGCACCAAAGUGGCACUAAAGGGUCCCCGGGGGGGAUUUCAGGGGGUUCUGAGCCUCUGAAUGGCACCAAAACUGUCCCCAAAGUGUUCACAAAUGUCCCCAAGUGUCCCCAGGGUGUUCUCAGGGUCCCCAAAGUGUCCCCAGGUCAGCAGGUGGCACUAAAGUGG
This is a long non-coding RNA of Oenanthe melanoleuca, 185 nucleotides long. RefSeq lists it as uncharacterized. The record is from RefSeq and is a predicted model, not a curated record. The transcript has 3 exons. NCBI's taxonomy places the organism in Eukaryota, Metazoa, Chordata, Aves, Passeriformes, Muscicapidae.